Ochotona princeps (American pika) is the source of this 122-nucleotide small nucleolar RNA. Its record names the gene SNORA74. It matches the Rfam family "Small nucleolar RNA SNORA74". From Rfam's summary of the family: U19 belongs to the H/ACA class of snoRNAs. snoRNAs bind a number of proteins (including dyskerin, Gar1p and Nop10p in the case of the H/ACA class) to form snoRNP complexes. This class are thought to guide the sites of modification of uridines to pseudouridines by forming direct base pairing interactions with substrate RNAs. The record is from Ensembl. NCBI's taxonomy places the organism in Eukaryota, Metazoa, Chordata, Mammalia, Lagomorpha, Ochotonidae.
CCCAGCUGUAAGCAACUGCUUAGGUUGCCUUGUACUUAGGCAAGUGUUACACUGCUGGGAGAAAAGCAGCCAACAGCUGGCAGGCGUUCUAAUUUGGUUAGUGCCAACUUGGUGUUAACUAC